AACGCGUUCGUUAUACCCCCAAUUAGGUUUGUAUAGGGUCAAUUUAGAUCAAACCCAAACAUUUACAAAAACCCUCUUUUUGAAGCCCUAAAUGCAAUUAUAACAAAAUACUCCAUUUCAUCUCAUAAAUCAUGCAUUAACCAUCUAUUUAGCAUCCUAGGAUUCCACUAAAUCCAUUCUUAGAGCAUAUAACCAUAGCCAUGAAGAUCUACCAUUUGAGCUUCAAGAAGCUUACCUCAUCUAAGCUUCAAACUCAAGGAAGAAGAUGAAGAGGAUGAAGCUCCAUCUCCUUGUCUCCUUCUCCACCAAUCUCUCCUUCUUUUGAUCCACUUCUAGAGGGAGGGAGAGAGCAUUCUAGAGAGAGGGAGGAGCUGCUCUCUCAAACAUUAUGUGUGUGUGUGUAGUGUGAAAGAGGGAAGAAGAAAAAGCCCCAUACAUUAGCCAACUUCCCCCAAUUUACAAUAUUGCCAUCAGCCCAAACUGGGCAUUUUCGGGCUUCGGGGACCGGUCCUUGCGAUGAGGGACCAGUCCUGAGAGACCGGUCCUUGACUGAGAGACCGGUCCCCGAAGGUCCAGAAAUUAGCCUUCAAGGACUUAGCCAAAUUUUCAGCAUUUUUACCAAUUUUCGUCCGUUUUCGCUCGUUUUCGCUCGUUUGACCUCUGAUUCACUUCAAAUCGAACCGAGACCCUCCAAACAUGUUUUCAAGCAUGUUUUCAUCAUCUUUUCAUCCACGCUAAUGCCAGAUUUAGUCCAUGGUCCAACAUAGCCUUUCGAGUCCCGUUUUCGCGCCCUAUGCGUGCCGAAGCACCCGAAUGCUCCCGAACUUCGCCGGAAUGAUUCCAAUGGCUUUCUAAGCUAACAUACAUCGUAACUUCAUGAAUUAGAAGUUCGGUAUAUUACAUCAGGUAUAUUCGAAGAUUGAUCUUCAGUAGGUCGGGAUACCACUAGUUGAAGAUCAAACCGGAGGAUGUGCAUAAGACGGCUUUUCGUACGCAGUAUGACCAUUACGAGUUCACGGUGAUGCCGUUCGGGCUUAGUAAUGCCCCUGCAGCAUUUAUGGACUUGAUGAAUCGAGUCUUCCGGCCAUUGUUAAAUCGAUGCGUCGUGGUAUUUAUUGACGACCUAUUGUUAAAUCGAGUCUUCCGGCCAUUGAAAAAUUUACAAGUAUAUUAAGUUAUAAGUAUAGUAAACUAUAUAUAACAAAUAUUUAUAAUUAUUUGAUUAAAUUUUUCAAAAUAAUAUUAUAAGAGUUUAUUGAAAUCAGAAAAACUAAAACAAGUAUGUACUAAAGCGUGCAAGUAGAAGGUGAUGUAUAUCCAUCGGCAUGCAAACGUAUCAUGUGUUGACAUAGAAGCGUGUCUGUAAGGAAGUGAAUGCUCGAAAUCCGAGAGUUGGACUUCACUCAGAAUCGACUAAUUGUCGAGUGGGUAUGCUUCGGAAAAAGCCGAAGAAGUCAAAAAUCCAAAAAGUGCAUUACAACAAACCCGCAGAGCAAGUUGUGCAAAAAUCUGCACUUGGCAGAAAUUGCUCUCGGGGACCGGUCUCUGGUGGGAGGGACCUGUCCCCGUAAGCAGAGGGUGCGGCAGGCUCUGCGCACAAGUCUUGCUCUCGGGGGUCCCUCCCUAUGGGAGGGACUGGUCCCCGUAAGCAUGGUGAGUGGCAAAAAAAUGCUGCACACCAAUUUUGCUCUCGGAGACCAGUCCCUGGCGGGGAAGACCGGUCCUCGUACGCGUAGGAGCUGGCUAAGAGAUUCUGCCCGCAAGGGGUGCUCUCGGAGACCGGUCCCUCUAGGGACAGACCAGUCCCCGAGCACGAAAAUUGCCUAGUCUAGACUGUGUGAGAGAAGCAAAGCGGAGGGGUUAUUAUGCAAUUGUUGCAUUAGUUAGGGGUAUAGAGGGGAGAUCACUCUCUCCCUCUCUCAUUUUCUCACCCAAACAUAUCCCCUCUCUCUCUCUAAGCUCUCUCUCCCUCUCUCUUGAAGUGAAGAAGGAGAAGAAGGAAAGGAAAGAGAAGAAGGUGGAGAAGAAAGAGAAGCAAGCUAGAGAAGGGCCUUGGAAAUCCUUUUCUUCCUCUCCUCACCAUUGGAGCAAGCUUGGAGGUAAGCUUUUGAACCUUACCAUGGUAGAACCUAGGGUUUGGGUUUUUAGCUUUAAAAAGGGUUUGAUUCGAACUCUAGUGAGCCUAAUAGAUGCUAAAUGUUAGAAUCUAGAGGUUUGUUGGGGCAUUUUUGCAUAGAUGCAAACCUAGGGCUCCAAAUUGGGGCUUUGUUUAUUAAUGGGGUUUGAUCUCAAUUGAUAGCAUCUAAACCUAAUUGCUAGGUGUCUAAACGCGUUGGCGAAGACGGAUUGACGAUUCGUCGAGUUGUUGGAAAGUUAUCGGCAAAACAAGGCCGAUUGGGCUUCGUUUCCACCUCAGAGGCCGUGACGACAUCAUAGUAAGUGCCGAGAAGCAUUCUUAGAGCCUCGACAUCGUCGAAAGGUGGGUGAUGUCAUCCUGAAGCAACCGGGUUCCUCUCUAUGUCUUAGCACACCAUGAUUUUGCAUCUUUUGCAUAUUGCAUUGUAGGAUUGCAUUGUUUUUCAUUCCUUAUACUUUCUAAUUGAUAUCAUAGUAUGAGUUGAAUGCUUGGUAUAAUGGAUAGAUAAGGAUUGGGUCUUGACAUUAAAUCCUAUAGUGCCGAGGAAAAGAGAUGGACUCGAUGGUUAUCUAGUGACAUAAUGAGUGGCACAUGAUUCAUAAAUGAACAGAACGAGUGGCAUAUAACUUAGUAUAAAGUGACACUAGUGGGUUGUGAACUUAGGGAUAGGUGGAUUCCCUAGUGAUGACUCGUUGAACAAGAACAUAGUGUAGUUAAAUACUUACACAUGGAUAUUGGGAUAGGUGGAUUGCCGAGUGACUAUUAGUCCUAGUUGAUAGGGUAUCCUCGAGUUGAGAGGAUCGGAUCAUACUCACAGUCUGUUUAUACUUGUGGUGGUUGUGCCAUACAAGUUGUCGUGCACUCCAGAGUUAGGCGCGAGAGGGGCAGAGUUGAUGUCCCGCAGACGGUCUCGGGUUUGAGAGCGAGGUGAGUCUCCUUACCAUACGGGAUGGCGAGGUGAGUUGUGGGCGAGCUCGAGGGAUUGCCAAGGAUUGAUUAAACAAGAGAACAGCACUGUUUAUUGAACAUUUGCUUAUUGGACAUUGUUAGUGGACAUAGUGGCAUGUUAGUGAACUCCUUACUAUAUGAUGCAUGCAUACAUUACACAUGAUUAGGGCAUAGUAGCAUAGUUUUUUUACUAUGUCAUUUACAGUUUUUAUAUCUAUCUACCUAUCUAUCUGCUUUUGCCCACUCGGACCUAGUGGGUAGAUCAGCGGAGUCGGCGGCCGAAUCCACUGGGAACUUUGGAUAAUAGUUCUCACCCCACUUUGCUGCAGGGCCUAGUACGAGUACGCCGGGCGAGGACCGCGGCAAGGGCAUCGCGCCGGAGCAAUAGUUACAUAGUAGCUUUCCAUUUUGCAUUAGUAUCACCCUAUGUAUAUAAAUGAUUUAUGUUGGUGAGGAUGUGGAGAGCUAUGUGCAUGUAUUUUGGUGAUGAUCUAGCAAACAUGUAUCCAUUUUGGAAAGGUGUAAAUGUAACUUGAGGUAAAUGAAUGCAAUGUGAUGUAAUAGCUAGUAGAUCUCUCUUUUGUUCACUUGUAUGUACUCGUGACUCUUGCUUAUAGUUGUUGGCACUUGUUGUGUCCUUCUUUGAUUGUGUAUGUAUAGAAUUUCAUUUUUUGGGCAAAUUCUUGUACACAAUCUAGUUGUUUAGCCUUGGGCAGACAGGGGAGGUGCUGUCCGUUCGGCGUCUGUUCGACGCGUCCGAACCUGACCAAAUUGGUAGCGGUCUCGGGGCGUGACAGUGUCGGUGCCAUACCGUACUAAACAAACAGCAGCACGACCCCAUGCCAUAGCACUUUAAACCUUGAUCCGUAGAAGAAUACAAAGCACAAAACCUGCUUCAUGUGGAGGAAGGAAAGAAAGGCCGCACAAACAAACUCUGAGGCAAAAAUAAUUGGAAAUAGCCACCAUUUUUCUAACUCGCAGCGCCUGCAUCGACAAACUUAUACAAGAUCUCUCAAUCACUGCGUUCUUGUCUUCUCACUACUUUGCUUAGGAACUAAGGUUGAUAAGUGUUGAGUAUAGUAUAGCAUGAAAAAUGAGAAAAGUAAUAAAUAGUCGUAUUUUAUGGAUAUAAAGGAAUAGCAUUUAACGAGUUAUUCUUAAAUAAUAUGAAAUAACUCCAUAGAAAGGAAUAGCAUUUAACGAGUUAUUCUUAAAUAAUAUGAAAUAACUCACUUUAACGAAAAUAAAUUAUUCCAAGUCAAAUUUAACUAUAUUCAUUCAGCAUAACAUAUGAGACAAAAAUAUAUUUUCUUCUACAAUAAUAUUUCUUAGUUAUUUUAUUACCAAACACAUGAUUAUAUACAAAUGCUCAUAAAUUUAAUUUUGCUUCUUGAAUAAUUAUUAUUUUCAUAAAUUUAAGUGAGUGUUUGAUUUCUCAAAACAUAUUCUAGGAAAAAAAGUUUUUAGUUAGAAAAUUAUUUUUUUAUUUGUUUGGUUACAAAAAAAAUAAUUUUUUUUAAAAAAACUUUUCCCAAUUUGAAUGACAAAUUUAUACUUCUCUUUUUUAAAAAAUUUUAUUAGGUUAUAGAAAAACAUGUGAAAAGAAAUAUUUUUUGUGAAUAUUUUUUGAAAAAAGUAAUUUUCAUCUUUUUUUUUACAAACAAUUAAAGGUCACUGAGGUUUCGUUUGAUUCGAGUAUAAGUAAAAACUGUUUUAUUCAAUGAUAGGUAUAAGUUCAGGUAUAAGCGAGAAUUAAAAAAAUUUUGUGUUUGGAUGAAAAUUAGAUUGUUUCCAGGAAUAAGAAAGAUAGCAUUUGAAUAGAUAAGAUGAAAUAAGAAAUAUAAUGGAUAGUUAUAAAUUAAAAAAUAUAUAUAUUACCCCUCUCGUUAUAUUUGGAUUUUAAAUUCUUAAAUUUUGCAUUUAUAAUUUUAAAUUUAAAUUUUUAAUUUUUAAAUUUUAAAGUUUGAAAAUAAAAUUUAAAAUUUAAAUCUUCAAAUUUUUAAUUUUAAAAAUUUAAAUUUUAAAUUUAAGAUCAAAUUUAAAUUUUAAAAUUUAAAUUUAAAUUUAAAUUUAAAUUUUAAAAAUUAAAAAUUUUAAAUACCAAAAUUAAAAUUUAAACUUUAAAAUUUAGAAUUAUAAAUUAUAAAUUUUAAUUUUAAAAUUAUAAAUUUAAAAUUUUAAAAAUUUUAAUUCUAAUUUAAAACAUAUCUCUCUCAAUACCACGGAAACAAAGGGGUGGGAACAAGCUUGUUCCCACCCUUGUUUCCACCCAAUAUUGAAUUGUGCCGGUAUGACCAGGUAAGAUAAGAAUAAUAGCUUUCACCCCCAACUUUUUGUUUGGAUACAAAAGGGAAGGAUAAGAACUUAUUUCCCCUCUUACAACCAAUCCAAACGGUGUGUGAGGGUACCCAAAGCAAUGUCGUAUCUCAACCGCUCGAUGAGCACCACAGAGCCGCACAAAUCCCCGUAGCCGCACACAUCGCGGUAGAAACGACGUAAAUAAAAUAAUAAUGUGGUGGUGAAGCGGAUAAGGGCGGAUAUCGAAUCCCAACCGUCCGUGGCCCCUUCUCGCGAAUUCGAAUUUCGAACCUCCAACGGCUACUUCACUUCCAUCCUAAUACCCUAUCCAUCCACUCCCGCCCCUCCCCUCCCCUAUAUAUAUCAUCAUCAACAACAACAAACCCUAUCUUCCCCAAACCCUAGAAUCUAGCGGCGGCCAUGGCCAAGAAGAAGCACUCCACCGCGUCUACCACCGCCACAGCCACAACCACGGUGGCGGCGGCGGAGCCGAGGAAGGAACGGUCGGCGCCUGCGCCGGCGCCGGCGAGGGAUCCAUCGCCGGAGAAGGUGGAGAGCCUGAAGUCGCUGAACCACUUGCUCCUGAAGGAGACGGUGGAGCGGCGGGAGCAGGUGAGCCAGCUCCGCUCCCGCAUCGACGACCUCGCCUUCGACCACUCCUUCCUCUCCGCCGCCGAGCGCGACGUCGCCGGCCUCGUCCUCGCCUCCUACCUCGCCGACCUCCGCAGCCUCGCCGCCGCAAGGGAGCUCUCCGCCGACGCGAAGGCGCGGGACCUCGAAUCGACCCUCGCGUCCGUGGCCGUCCACAAGGAGGAGGCGAGAUCUCUCCAAGAGACCGCGAAUUCCUUAUCCGAAUCUCUAAAACGGGCCGAUGAGAAGUUAAAUCUUGCGGCGCGCGACAAGGAAGCGGUCCAGAACCAUCUAGAUUCGGUCCUCUCGGAGAGGGAUUCCAUCCGGAAGGAUCUUGAUAGCACGGGGAACGCGCUCGUCGAUCUCGAGUCCCGAGUUCGCGAGUUGGAGAUUUCGAACUCGGAGAUCGAAGAAACCCUCGGGCGAGUACGGAUGAAGAACGACGAAUUAUCGGAAUUGGUAAAGCGGAGAGAAGAAGCCCUUCAACUCUUGAUUCGCGAAAAGAACGCUAUAGAGGUAAAACUUGAAGAGCAGCGGAGAUCGGUCGCGAGCGUCGAGAAGAACGCGGAGGAAAGGGUGAGAGAGAAGCAAAUAGAAGUGGAGUCGCUGGCGGCCGAGAAGAAGGCGUUAGAGGCGAAGAUUUCGGCCUUGGAGGAGAGGUAUUGCUGCGUCGCUGAGAAGAACGAACAAUUACAAGACGAGGUUCAUGCGUUGAAGGAGGCCGUGAAUUUCCUCAAGGAGGAGGCGGCGGCGGAAGUGCAGAGCAAAUUAACCGAGAUUAGGGAGAGCCAUUCGAAGCUCGGCGACGAGCACGAAAGGCUUGUGAUGGAGUUUAGUUGUUUGGAGAAGGAGAAGGAAGAAAUUCAGCUUCGUUUUGAGGCGGAGAAGAUCGAAGCUUCGAGAGAGUUUGGACGUCUAAGACGCAUGCUGGAGGAUAUUCAAGAGGAGAAGGUCUUGAUUGAUGGUGUGAGGUCCGAGAAGGAGGCUGAAGUUAGUGAUCUAAAGAAUGAGCUUGCAAAGCUUCAAUCAGAUGUGUUGGACUUGCAGGAGAAGUGUAGAGAUUACGGCGAAACGAAUAAUAACUUGAGAGCUGACAGGGAUUCUAUUCAGAAGGCGCUCGAUCUCGAGAAGUCGGUAGCCAGUGAGCUGAAAUCACAGGUCGAGGAGCUAAAGAUGAUUAAAGAUGAGAAAGAACGAGAGCUUCGGGACGCUAAAACCGACAUGGAGGGGGAGGCGGAGAAAAUUGAGGGGUUGAGUCGGGAGCUUGAACUCCUGCAGCUUGCGCUGGUGGAAGCAGAGAGGAAGAAGGGAGGGGUUCGGACCUGGCUGUACCCAGCAACCACGGCAGCUUUUGCCGCGAUAUCCUUUGCCUGCGCAACAAGGGGGCGUUGAUCCUCCGUGUUUCUUGUCAGCUUUCUUUUCCUUUUUUUUACGGGACACAGUUUACUAUAUGCCUUGAUGAUACAGCAACUCGAUCAAAGUUUUGGGUUGCGGUUAGCUUUUGACGUCACCACCACGAUGGAUCAUUGUUGAUCUUUUAAUAUUUGAUUUUUCUUAUCUUGGCUAUUCAACUUCUUUUUGCCCCUUCUCUCGAUCAAACUUUUUAUAGUAAUUAGAAAGUUACGAGAUUAGACUCUUGAUAUUUAGUAAUUGCAUUCAUGUUACUCUAUUUUAUGCUCUUUCGAUCAUAAUGUCACCAAACUGAGAAUUGGUAUUUCAUUGUCAUGAUGUCCCAUUCCACUUCAAUUUCUAUAAUAAUAAUUAUUCAGUCACUCGAGUUCUACUUCAGUCUCACAUGUAUGAGCAUGAAUAAUCGCCGAUCCUUUGCUCUGCCUAUUGAAUAGAGAAGUGCAUUAAUUCUUUCUUUUACCAUGCAAUCUGUUUCAAGGUUCUCAGCAGAACCUAGUGAAAUUGCUUUGUCAAAUCAACUCAUCGUGUCUAAUGCGCUCAUCUUCCACUAUUAUUAGUAGUCUUAUAAAGGGACAUGUACACUUACCCGGCACGCAUGAUGAAAUGCGUAACUUAAUGUCCUAGUAAUUGUAUACCAUGUAGAGUGAAUGUUUCUUUUAUGCUUUUAAUGUUUGAACUUUAGAUGCCAUGGUUUAAUUUUCUCUGAUGUUUCUUGUGGAUGAGAAUUUGUUCAUUUGGGUGUGAAAGGAGUAUGUUAGUUUGAUUACCUAUUGUAACAUGACUAGCCUUGGAUCCCUUGUUUGAGUGUAUCUAUUUCCUUUCCUUCUAGUGCUGCUUUAGUAGCUCAUGUUUGUCUUGGGUAGUGUAGUUUGCCGAAUUUCCAAUAACUUUAGCAAACUACUGGGGAUGCAACUAUCAAUUGAAGAUGGUGAAGCCGGUUCAACGAUGGAAAAGAGGAGACUUUACUAUUUGUAUGUCAAGUAUACUUAGAUUAAAAGUACUAUUUGCAUAUCAAAAGUUGCUGCUAUUUCUGUUAAAUAUAAAAAUAUAAAAAUAUCGUUCUCUAGUAGCUUAAGUUUUUAUAGAAAAUAACGGUUGUUUCAUAUGAUUUAAUAUAGUAUCAGAGUAGGAGAUCCUAAAUUCGAAUCACGCCAGGCUCUUACCAUAAUUGAUUUUCUCUCAUUUAAUUUAAGCCCAUGUCAUGGAUCUAUUAAAAGUCUUGAUCCCAGACGUGAAGAAGACUGUUAAAUUUAAAAAUAUAACGGUUGUUUCAUAUUAUUUAGUAAUUUCUGCUCGUUUGUUAUCUCAUGAGGUAUUGUAGACCUACAAAAAAAAAAAACUUGAAGAAAAAGUAUUUGUUCAUUUUUUUUUGUUACAGUACUAAUAAGUAAAUACGUCGCCUAAGCUUUUUGUUAUUGUUAGGUUUGUUUUAGGCAAAGUUGUAUGUCCAUCGAGAGACCCUGUACAAAAACAAUUUCUUGUAGAUCCUUGCAACUCUUCUUUGACUUGGUAUCAGGUUUGGUACUCAAUACCGUGAUUUAUUUGUGACCUUAAAAGGAGUUUUUGAAGUUAUAGACGAAUUGCGCCAAGAUGUUGAAAUAUCAAAGAAGGUUCACGACAUGUAAGGACGAGCUUUAAACUAUGAAAAUACUAAUGUAAGUGGGUAUGUGGGGAUAGUCGAUGAUCUUGUAUUACUAAGCCUUGUCAUGUUGAUGACAUGUUUAAGUUUUAGGGCACAUUUGUUAUACGAGUGAAAAGGGUGAAAUGUUAUUCUUGUAAAUUUUCACUCUCUAUUAAUUACAUUUGGUAUGUCGAGGUUAACUUUUAAGGUGAAAUUCUUUUACACCGAACAAUACAAAUUUGUUAAUCUAGGAGGAUUAGGUUAAGAAGAGGUGAAAUAAGUGAAAGAGUUAAUCUAUGAAAAUUUGAUAAAGUUUUUAUCAUUUUUUUGCCAUUGUCUUUGCUCUCUCUUCUUGAUCAUUUUCUCUGUUAAUUUCUCUCCAUUUUGCUCUGUUAUAUUUGGUUUAGAUUUAUAGUUAUCUAAAUUGAAAUUAAAUCCUAAUCUAAUUGGGAUUGGAUAUAAUUUAGAUUUAAUUUGGCAUAUAUGGAUUAUGAGUCGGAAUCUAAUUUCUAAUUGAAUUAGGAUUAGACUCUAUUUAUGAGACAUGUAUUAUAAAUACAUGCUACGGCCGAAUUAAUCUUGCUGCGACCAAAAUUAAGGCCAUGCAACCCUCUAAUUAAUUAGCCAAACGUUGCCUUUCCUUUUGUUGGUGUUCGGUGCUGGUGGUGGUCGGUGCUAAAUUAAUUAAGCCAAGUCAUGCACCUUGGUUCCGUACGGUCAAGCAUCCGCGGCGAUUCUAAUUUAGCCAUGCACCCAAGAUUCAAGCUAAUUAAUUAAGUGGCAUGUUGGUUUUCCAUACGGGUGAAGGAGCCGAGCCGUUUUCUUGGAGUUGCUUGUUGCGGCGUUUCGGAUCUAAUUUUGGUCUUUUGAGAGAUUUUCUUGUACUCCGCCUUUUCGACAUUAAUAAAGUAUUUGCUCCGUCUUCGCCCAUGGACGUAGGCCGUUGGCGGAACCACAUAAAUAUCGGUGUAUUCUUUCCUUAUUUUUUCUUUUCUUGCAUUAAUUUAAUUUCUAGAUCUAUUUUUCGCCGUUCCGAUUUUAACAUGCUCUUUAUUUUUUUCUUCCUUACUUUCUCACUCUUUACUUUCUCUUUUCUUACUUUCUCUUUUGAACUUUUCUCUUCUUAAUUUCUCUCUCCACUUUCUUUCUCCCCAAUUUCUCUCUCACUUUCUAUUUCUUUAGUUUCUCUCUCUUUACUUUCUCUCCUUAAUUUCUCUUUUUAUUUCUCUGUCCGUAAUUUCUCUAUCUUUGCUUUCUCUUUCCUCAAUUUGUCUUUUUUCACUCUCUUAUUAAUCUCUAUUUAUUUUCUCUCUUCUUAAUUCUUUCUCGCACUUUUCUUUAUGAUGCUUUUUUUUAUUUUCUUUUUAAUUUCUCUUUCUUUAUCUUCCUUCGCUUUCUUUCUCCUUUUUUUUUUUCUUUCUUCUCACUUUCUUCCUCAUUAUCUUCUCUCUCAUCGUUCUCUCUUUUGUUGUAACACUCUUUAGUUUCCAUCUUAUUAUUUUCUCUUUCAUGCCUCACUCUAUCUUCGCACUUUCUCUCUCUCAUUAUCUUCUCUCUCCUCACUUAUUCUCUCUUCACUUUUUCUCUUUUCUCUUUCUUUGUUAUAUCUCUCUUCAAUUUCUCUUCUCAUUUCUUUUUGUCACCUUAUCUGUUCUCUCCAUUUGCUCUACUAUUCCUUUAUUCUCUUUUUCACUAUCCUUUUAUUUUUUUUUUUUGCUCUCCUUUUUUUUUGUAUAAAUUGAGUUUUAAAAUCGAGGUUUUAAAAUAAAUUUUCGAGAAGGGUUGACUAGUUUUGUAAAAUUAUAUAGUUUUCAAUGAAACAAAAAUGCCACUCCCUAGGUUUGAUAGUAUAGAAAUUCGUAGAAGUGAUCGUUUUGUGAUUUUUCAUGAUAAAAGUGUGAUUUAUAGAGAAAUAAUGAGAGGGUAAACGAGAUGUUUUGGGCUAUUUUUGUAAAAAGCAUGACAUUUUAUAUGAUAAAUUGCAUGAAAAUCCAUGAAAAAGUUGUAUUGUGUAAAAUACAUGUAUUGGAGAGUUCUUGGUGAGAAACUCAAAGUUUGGAGGACUAAAACAUAAUUGUUACAAAAUAAGAAAAAUACGCACUUUACAAAAUGGUUAUUAUUUUAAGUGCAAAAGGUUGGAAUUUUUUUGCAGCGGAAGACUAUUUUGCGUAGUGGAUUGAGAGAGGAUCAAAUUGGCUUUACAAAAUAACAUUUUCGGAGCCUGAGUUCUAAUUAGUUUGUUCCAAGUCAUGUUUGGGUCACUGAAGAGACGCCACCACCAUUUGGUCAAUAGCGCCAUGUUCAUUGAUUCCAAAUCCUUGACCCCUAAACCUACAUCCUGUUUACUUUUACAUACAGUUUUCCAAUUCACGAGGCAAGCCCCCCCCCCUCCCCUUGACUUUAGAGCUCCCUUUCCAAAAGAAUGCUCUCCUUAAGGCUUCGAUCCAUUGAAGUACCCAUUUGGGGAUUUGUAAAUGGAGAAAAAAGUGUAGCGGCAAGCUAGUGAGAACCGAGUUAACUAGUGUGAGUUAUUUAUAAGGGAUAAUUGCCUAUAUACCCCUUAUACGUUUGAAAAUAUCCGAUUUACCUCUACUUUUUUUUUUCUUUCUAAAAUACCCUUCAUUUGCUCCACUGUUAUUGCAAAAUACCCCCGCAAUUAUCUCCUGUUAAGUUAACUUGGGUUAAACGUAAGUUAAAUAUCUACCACAGUUAAAAAAAAUUUAAAAUGCCAAUUUUGCCCUUAACUUAAGGGCAAAUAAGAAAUGUUGGUGACGGUAGAGGGGUAUAUUUGAAAAGAUCAAAAGUCAAAGAAAAGUCGGUGAUGGUAGAAGAGUAUAUUUAAAAGGGCAAAAUAGUAAUUUCACAGAGAUAAUAGAGUUCAUUAACAGAUUUUAACUCUAUAGGUAUAUCCAAAAGGGUAUUUUCAAUAUUAGCCUUCUAAGAAGGGUAAAUCAAAAAGUCGAAAACUUUUUAGGGGUAUAUAAGCAAUUGCCCCUAUUUAUAAUAAUAUAUAUUAUGUAUUUUAAUUAUAUGUAUAUAGAGUUUUGGUUAUUGGACAUAUUUGCUGGCCCAUAAAACCAAAUCAGCAAAACCCUACUCUAAUUGCUCUCUCUCUCCCUCUCUUUCACUUGCUCGCAUAGUCGCUUUCCCUAAAUUAUUUUUCGUAAUAUUAUAAUACCAUAUUCAUGCAUUUAUUUUGUAUGUUGAACUAUUAGACAUAUUUUUGUAUCAAAUUUUAGAUAAUGUUUUAUAAAAAUUAAACUAUAAAUUGCAUGAUGUUAAGAAUUUCAAGCAGCUUGUUUACAACUCGAGCUCACUCGACUUGAAAUUAGGCUCGCUCGAGCUCAACUCGAAUUAAUUUCAAGCCAAGCUUGAGCCUAAAUUUAGGAUCGAAAUUAAUUUCAAGCCAAGCUUGAGCUGGGACUCAUUUCCACCCCUACGCUUACCCCCAUUUGUCAUACCUAAUAAGUGAACAUCUACAAACUUAAGGAUAUAAGACUCAAACUUCUAUAUAUCAUAAUGUGAUGAUCUAGUCCAUUAGUAUUAGCAAUUUGUUGAAACCAAACCACUAACACAAAAUGCUUAAGACAAAUUAUUAGUACUAGAAUGCUUAGUUCUUAUAUACCAGCACAGAAUUCUUCUCUCAUCCAACAUGGGACUAGGGUUUUAUAUUCUUCCCUCGAUAAAACGCCAACAUCCUCGACGUGGGACUAGGGUUGUAUAUUCUUCCCUGGAUAAAAUGCCAACAUCCUCGUCACGCCCAAUUACAAUACAUCAAGAGGCGACAUGAGAUUUUAAAGAUAGCUCCCACCAUGUUAAUGGUGCAUCAUUUUGACCUACAUAAUACUUAACUCUCGCACUUCUGCCUUGUUUCAAUGUAUGAAUAUUUCAUUCGGAAUACCUUUUUGAUUUGCUCAAAAAGUUUGAAGUACUUAGUAAAUAGAAGGGUGAUUAUAGUCUCGAAUUGAAUAGCAUAUUCAGCCUUCUGUUCAAUUUUUCGAUAUAAGAUAAAUCACCUCGUAGGAAGAUUAUAUUAUCCUUAUCAAAUCAUAAAUAUCAAGACCUUUCAAAGAGAAAAAAAAAAAAAUGAAACUCCUGUCAGCCAAUAACACAAUACAUUUUUCAUAUCAAAUAAAUUAUCUUUGGAUAACUUAUUUCAACGUCUAAACAAAACCCUUGCUACAGACGUACCGUAUAUAACCUUACCUUUGCAUAGAUCUUGAUCACAUAGCAAAAUCUUUCCAUUUAGUCACAACCUUUUCUUUUAUGAAGCAACAAUUGAACAAGAACAUUAGAUUAUGCAAUGCAACUACAAUUAACACUGUGUAGGACAAUAUGUUACAUGUUGGACCCAAUAGCAAUGCCACUUAGAUCUGGUGGAAUAUUUCUGUGUUCUUUUAGAGCCAUUAGACUUAUUUUACAAAGCAAUUUUGCUGACUCGCCGCCUUCUGCAGAAGGACUCGAUUCUGUCGCACGCCUCCUCCAGCAAGCUAGCAGGAACUCCAAAGAAUAUUCUCACCCAAUUCUUUAAUCCAAUGACAGAACCUAAAUUACAUUACGAGCUUCGUGAUCAGCAAAAUGAAAUUGUAGAAUUUGAUCUACCAACUGAUCUUACGAAAAUUAGUUGUUCUGAUCGAACAGAAGUCGAAUUCUAUAAUCCAGGAGUACAUAUAAAACCGUGAUUUAUUCUGCUGCUGCACGAAGCCAUGUGAAUAAUAAAGGACUAUUUCACUGCGAACGAAAGUUUAUUCACUGGUGACAAACAUGUCGAAUGUAAUAACAAUUAGUGACUUCUAUUUGAAUUUUUCACCUGGUAUGUCUGAAAACUUCAGUUCUUGUCUUUUUGUUAUAUUAAAUUUAACAGCCAUUUCAAGUUGUGCUUUGCUGAAACAAGAUAAUUUAUUCACAAUUAUUCAAUCUAUUGUCACCGUCCCCAUGCAACACAUUUUCUCGGCCAUUCGUUACCACUUAAAAUGUUAUCGUUGGCAUUUAAAAAUGCAAACUCAUCGUAGCUCUUCUCCAUUUUUCAACAUGAAAAAGAACAAAAAUUGAGAUAGUAUGUGCAAAAUUACUGGUCAACUAGGGAACUCAUCCUACCUGGUACAACCAAGACAGAUUCUUCUUUAAUCAGCUCUCUUGCAAAGUCCAUGUCAUCCCCUAUGCCAUAUAGAAGCGAUGUGUUGACCUCUACCUAUCAUUUAAUGAUCAAAGCGCUGUCAAACUCGGUAAUACUGGGAUGCAAAAUUUUGCAAUAUGAUGAACGAUGUCUUACCAUCAUGAACAUGGAGCCUUGAGGCCGCGAAUAACAAUGCAGCACAUCAAUUUGCUGUAUUCUUUCGUAAAGGGCAUCUGCUGAAGAUUCGAGUUGCGCAAGGACAUUUUUGUGAAAUUCUUCAUGCGAAUCAGAAAGAAUACUCGGGACAGCUGCCUGUUGUGAAAAGUUACCGAUACGAAUAAGUGUUGAUCUAGCAAAAGGACCAAAAAAAGAAGUAAAAUAUAUGACGACCCUCUCUACCGCAGGCCAUUUUGCAAGAGUCGUUAAUUGCUUUUGUGAUUGGCGCCCCCUUUUAACUUCAAAGUAACUUCUAAUUUACUUCGAUUUAUUUUUCUAGAAUGUAUUAAAUUUAACAGCUUCAUUAGCUAUCAAUUGUUAAUUGUUAACAAAAUUCACAUUUAUCAGUUGAGAGUAUCCAGAACGGUGAAAUAUAACAGCAUUACUUAAUUCAACAAAACGUUAAAUUUGAUUCAUGAAAAUAACUUAAAUCAAAUGAAUCAAGAAUUUAGGGGAUGUUAAUCAAAAGAAAAAUAGCUGAGGUUUUGAUUUCAAAAUGGCCUAGAAUUGAGGGAGUCCUCAUAAAUUUUAAACGAAAAAGAAAGAGUUAUAAGAGGGUCCUGCUAGACCUGAACUAUCGAAGAUGGACCUGAAGUAACAUUCAUGAGCAUCUCAGUAGCCACCCGGACCUUCCAUAAAACAAAAAUGGCAAACAUUCAUGUUAUAAAAGCUAAUAAAUAGGUGAAAGAAAUCAAUAGAAUUAUAGUUUUCACUUCAUCUAUUGAUUCAGAAAAACUCCAUUUCGCUGCAGUGUCACAUAGUGUGAUCAUCAUAGGUCACUUUGUAAGGCUACUAAAUAUGAUGGUCUAGUUUGGUUAUGCUUUGUCCGGAACAGCUGCUUUAAAUGCUUUAAACCUCCAUAAAAAUCAGAAAGCUCUUUAGAGCUUCACGACUAUGAGCUCUAUCACAUAGAGAGUGUGGUGGAACCUUCCAUUGAGAAAGCACCCAUCGGGUGCUUCCUCAACAUAAGGUCCUAACACACUAUCCUUGCGAUGAGCAGCCACAAAGGAGAAAGGGGAUCCGGAAGUAUUUUCGAACUUCUAUGGGGCUCUAAUGUACUGAAAGCAGCUGCAAUAGAUGAAGCAUUCUCAACAAGGCCUACAGACUAUUGUCAGCAGAGAAGGAAAUGUUCUUUAGGUUAUUUAAUUAAUAAUAAAACGAAAAAGUUACAGGAAGAAUACUUAGGGCUCAUUUGGUUAUACUUAUUCUAUAUUUUUCUAAACUCAGGCUCUAUGCAAUUAAAUGUUCCGGCAAAUAAUAGAUUGUUUGCUACAAGUACAUCUAUGGGGGUUUUUUGGCAACAAAAAAAGCCAAAAAUUGGUAGAUAGUUUUUUCACUUUUCUUUCUAUAAAAGAUGAGAAGCCUAUUCAUCAGUGAAUUCAAUUGCAUAAUACAUAAAUUUAAGAGAAAAGGAAACAAUAAAUAUACCAUAGCAAAUGAGGCCUUAGUGUGGACGCUUCUUUUUUUUAUAUAUUUGAAUGGCAGUUGAGGAUGUUAAUACUAAUUGUUAUCAGUUAGCAUAUUCAGAAAUUCAAACUGAACAAGUUGCUAGUUAGACCAAAAUAAGUCCUAGUUUAAAUAAGUUUAGCCGUUAUCAUCGACAGUUUUCUUUUGAAUGAGAAAACCAGCGCAAAGAUGGCCACUAAAACAAGCUUUAAUUACUCACAAUAUAUUAGAAGAAAAAUAUAUAUAUGAAUCAAGAUCUACUUUUUAUAUGAAAUUUUAACCCCUCUAUAAAAUUUGGUCCAAGAUUUUGAAUUGAUACCAUAGUAUAAAUUAGCAAAAGGGAAACUUUUUUUUUUUUAGUAAUUUGGAAAGUCAUAAGAUACAACUGAUUACUGCUAAAUCUCCUAACUGUGAACCUUUGUAAUACAAUGUGAUCAUAUAGAAAGGCUUGAAAAUAUGAAGAUGCUUAAAUUGAUUCAGAGUGAGUUUUAAUGUUUGCUACACAGAUUGCCUAAAACAACAUAAUUGAUAUUGAGGUGUAGUACUUUUAUGGAAUGCUUAAAAUAUUCGGUGAAACAUUGAGAAUCAUAAAAAUAGGAUGUCGGAUAAUUUAAAUAUUUUCAAGGAGAUCAUGUUAUGAGAGUAAGUAUAAAAAUCACCUACAAGAUUACAUUACAAAAUUAAAUAAUCAAAUACUACAAUUGAGAUAUGCCUGCCGUUGUCUUCACAUUUGCAAUCACAUAAGCAUUUUGCGUUUUUUAUUUAUUUGGAAAAUAUCUCGGCAAAAAUAAUUGAAUAAAAACUUUUUUCCCUCUCAAUAGGGAUAGCUAAACCAAACCUUGCAUGCUAAUUUUCAUCUGCUCCUAUCGUUAAGGAAAUAAUCUCUUUUUUGUUUUGUUCUCCUUUUGCACUUCUUGAAUUCUUUUCUUGUCAAAGUGCCCUUAUGUAAGAACCAUGUUGUUAAAAACAACAAUAGAUAUAAGAACCCGACAAAUUGUAAAUAACUUGAUUAUGAAGUCCUACUUUUCGAUAAGACAAACAAUUCCUUCAACAUUAUUGCAUACCUGUGGUUGGAUUUGUUUCUUUUACGUUUCACCAAAUAAGAAUAAACUCCAACAGAAGUUGAAAAGUUACAAAAAUUUACAGGAGAAUAUAGCAUCACAUUUAUCUAUACAAAUGGCAGAAAAAGAAAGUGAAAGCUAUAAAAUGCAUUGGAAGAUUGCCAAAGCUAGAGAAAAGGUGAAAAUGUAGAGCAAAUACUCAUGCUUGAUGUUAGAACUAUAUAAAGGGUCCGACUACUAUACUAUUAUGAGUACGAUCGCCCUCGUACUCAUAAGUUGUUUUCGAUGAUAGAGCUUCCGAAUCGACGAUCCACACCGUUAAACGUUAUUUACAGCAUUUAAAACUUCUAGAAAUUAAAUUUUAUAAUUUUUCGACAUCAUUUACCUUACGAUCAAGAGGUCACAGAUUUGACAAUUUUUAACGGCCGGUAUGGGAUACUUGCUAGUUUAACGGUGUAAAAGAAUUGGAAUUUGUUGAAGUUUUGAUGGAAAAUUCUAUUCACUACAUAGAUAAAGAUCAAUAACUCUGAUCUUGAAUUGAAGGAUCCGAUCAUCCUUUUUUAGGACGUCGUUCGAUUUUGACCGUUCAUUUUAUGCCCACUUGAUAGACUUUAUUAUGAUUUCAAAAAUUUAUGAAAUUUAUUUUCUAGAAGUUUCAAAUACUCUAGAUCAUAUUUAACGGAGUGGAUCGUCGAUUCGGAAGCUCCAUCAUUUGGAAGCUCCAUCAUUAAAAACAACUUAUGAGUACGAGGGCUCCAAUACUCAUAAUAGUAUAGUAGCCAUGGCCCUAUAUAAAAAGUUUUUAGUCUAAAUACCAUGAUGAAAUGUGGUACUAGAUGUUUAGUUGCUCGAAAAGAAAGCUGUUAUAACAAAAUUUGGAAGCGAUUUUAAGACAUGAUUCCUACCGUAAUUCUUGAGAAGACUAAAAAGAUGAACAAUGCAAAACGUCUCCUAAAUCCGCGAGAAUUUGAUGCUUACUUGCUUAAGAGCACCAGUAGGGUCAUACAAGGCUACCCAUCCGAGGCGCCAACCAGGAACCAUCCAGCGUUUCGACAAUGCUCCUAUAGUAAUAAUUGGUGCCAGGUGGGCAAAUGAAGCCAUUGGCAAAAACUUGGCAUCCCCAUAUGUCAUAUCUGCAUAUAUCUCAUCUGCAAUAAUUGGGAGACUUAACUCUCUUGCAGUUUCAGCGAUCUGCAACAGAAAGAAGACCAGAAUGAUACCAUUCAAUCAUCAUUAAUUAAUAAUCUUGAUUGGAUAAAAUAGCAAAUUAAACCAAAAAAAUUUAUUUUCAUCAUUGCUAUUCAAUCAGUUAGAUAAAGUUUAGCUUCAACUUAUGUAUUGUCAAGAAAUAUGAUAUUUGUGAACCUUCUCUCUUUGAAAAACUAGGGAGUCAGCAAUUGUUUUAGAUUAUGGAGUUAUGCUGUUUCUAAUUGAAAUCCAGAUCCUUAUCUUGUAUAUAUUUGCAAACUCAUUCUAAUAAGACAAAAAAAAAAUUUCAGAUACUUCAUUUAUUACAAUUAAUUCAAUAGUAUUAAUUCAAUAGUAGGCUUAGUUACACUUUAAUCAACUGUAUUUUAGGGUUUUUCCUCAUUUGAUACACUAUAUAUUUUUUUUCAAAGAUACCGUCGAACUACAGCUUUCUCAUCAUUCUACUUGAGGGUUAUUUUCAUUGGUACACUAUAUUAUUUUUUUUUAAAAAAAAGACAAUACUAAACUAUCAUUAUCUCGCCAAUCUCUAUACUGCUGUCAACAAACCUACCAUCUCAUACGAAAGCUCACAGCUCUGUUAAGAAACAUUGGUUGGGGGUAGCAGAAAGCAUGAAGGGAAAAGCAAAAUAGGCCUCCUAGAUUGAUCCAUUGAAAGUAAAAUGGGCAACCAAAACACUAUCACAAUAUUAUUCCAAAAAUUCUUUCACAUCCGGCAGCAGGAUAACAAGAACCAAGAGUAUGAUAGUCAGAACAGCUCAAUUAAUACCGCUGCAGGAUAACAAGAACCAAGAGUAUGAUAGUCAGAACAGCUCAAUUAAUACCGCUGCAGGAUAACAAGAACCAAGAGUAUGAUAGUCAGAACAGCUCAAUUAAUACCGCUGCAGGAUAACAAGAACCAAGAGUAUGAUAGUGAGAACAGCUCAAUUAAUACCACUAAACAUUUGAUCUCAUCUAAGAGCCAGCACUUAGCCAACCAGUACAUCCCAUUAAUACAACUAGUGUGGAGAGAUAAAGAACGAGUCAAAUGGACAAAAACGCAGAGGGAGGAGGUAAAUCAAAUUGAAAGACAGGGGGCUAGUACACCAAGCAUAGGGUAUUCAUGCCAAUUUUUGAAAAUGAAUAUGUGCCUUCUGCUGAUCAUCAGCACCUAUCCUGCCAGUAUAUUGAAGGAAUAAAGUUGGCACACGCUCCCCAAAUUCAAGGUAAGAGCACUAAGCUGGGUAUGGAUUCGUAAUUAAUGUAUGUGUAUAGAUGGUUUUCUCGCAUCAGACGGCUUGAAUCUUCGAACAUCGGAGGUGACAGUGUUCAACAAAAACUCAAGCAAGCCUUCUAAAUUUUGGAUGUUUCUUUUAGUUGCGAUUUCUUUAAGCAAUGAUCAUUUAUGUGGUUAUAUUACACAUAAUUCGACUAUAUUCAAAAUGAUCUUAACUAUAUCUCAAAAUGGUUGCACAUGCACCUUCUAAUUAUAUAUACACUACUGUUGGGAUGUUGAUGUACUUCAUCUACAGUUUGUUAUCUAUGCCACUAUAAUGUUUUAUCUAAACCAUAUAAACAAGCCUAUAAACUUAUAGGUAAGCUGCACAAGAACUGGCAUGUGUCGCUACCGCAUACACUAUAUGGUGAUCAUGUCACAUCAUAUUGAAACUUGAUUGACCUACGGUAAGAAAACAUAGAUUUUGUCACUAACAAAAACGAAAUGCUUCGACUGUUUUUUCAAUUUCUGUGUUUUUGUAUCAAGUUUUGAUGGCUUCAGAUGACAAAUUUUCUUAAAAAUUGAAAAUUAAGGAAAAGAAUGCAUGGGAAAUGAAACGAGUAGGUCAAAAAAAAUUCAGGUUAUUUAAUGAAAAUAUAAGAAAAAAUCAGGUACAGUUGGCGGGCAUCAAAGGCUUCCUUGUAACCAUCAAAUAAGGGCAUCCAUGUAGAAUUUUCAACCUCUUGUCAACAAAAAGCUAUGAUGGAAUGGCCCGCAUGAAUCACCAACUUCCGCAUUAUCAAAACCAUUCUCCAAUAAAAUCCCCACUCAAAGGACAAAAUUUAGUAACUAAGCAAUAUAAAUUCCUUCAUAAAAUAUUAAGAAAAACCUCAAUUUCAAAUUUCUAGACUUAAGUUUAGCAUUUGCGCUACUUUUUUUCUUCACACUCUGUGAGACCCCAGAUAGUCCUAUAUAUAAAAUAUAGUAGAACUAAAUCUCUAAACUCAGCUAUAGCAUUUUGGGCAGUGGUUAGGCCCAAGAGAUUAAGAGAGUUAAGUAUGCUAGGACCAGAAUAGUCCUAAAAUAUAACCGCUGGAAAGUAGGGCGUCACAGUUGGUAUCAUAGAUAAUUACCAGCCGGAAAUGUGAGAUGAAUCUCGACUGAGUGAGGAUUAUACAGGGGAGAAAGCGAGGCUCUCAUACUAAUGAUUGUUGUGGGUAGAGCACGUCUACCCCACAAGGUCAGUUAAAGCUAGCGAGAUGAGUCUCACAUCGCCUAAUACUUGUGAGUAUGAGCCUGACGAGGACGUCAGAGCUUAAAGGGGGAGAAAUUGUGAGACCCCAGAUAGUCCUAUAUAUAAGAUAUAGCAAAAUUAAAUCUCUUAAUCUAGUUAUAGCAUUUUGGACGGUGGCUAGGCCCAAGAUGUUAAAAAGUUAAGCAUGCUAGGACUAGAGUAGUCCUAGGAUAGGUGACCCACUGGGAAGUGAGGCGUCACACACUCCCCAUUCACCUUUCAAAUUUGCAGCAAUUCCCACACUUUGCUAAUACAUGGUAAAACUUUAAUUGGAUCAUGAAAAUUUUGUUAGUUACAGCCUUACUCUUCAUCUUGAAACAUACACAACAUUUUAUUUGGCAAGUAACAGGUCCUUGGGUUUCUUUGAUUUAGAAAAGAAAGGAACAAUGAGAAACGAGCACCGGUAAGUUCAAAAUCCAUUCACCUCUCUGCAAAUAUAUUAGGAUCUCCACUUCUAACUAUAGUUCAACCAAAUUGUUAGGAUCUCCAAUUUCUAAUGAUUGUUGUGAUACCAUUUGUUGUCUCUAUUGGACACCAUUUUGCUCCGAGGGAAAGAGAGACCUCAAAUUCUAACUUAACCCAAGCUAGAAGCCAAUAAGAAGAAACUCUUCUUUAUUAAUUAGAUUAAAUGUUGAAUACAAACAGAAGAGGCCUCUCAUUUGUAGGCCUAGAAUUCAUAUAGUAUUCGUAAUAUGGUGAGGAAACAAUGUAAGAAAAGGAUAAAUUAAAGAUACCUCUAAUCUAAUAAGAUAUGCCACAUAAAAUCUCUUUCUAAGCUACUAAUAAAUUAAACACGGGUACGAUUGGUACAUUCUUAAUUAUAUUUGUAAAAUACAGUAUAUAUUACUAUUAAAUAUAUAUAUAUAUAUUAAACACAUUUGUAUCAACAUUUGAUUCCAAAAUAUAAAAAUUUUCUGAAGCAAAAAAGUGAAGUUCAUAGUAUGCUUAUUUUUUAGACCAGUUUGUCCAAAAGAUACUUAUCCUCUUUUUGUGUUUUUUUACUUCUUAUUCUUCUAACUCUGUUUAGGUUUUUUUGUCAACCUAUGCAACCAAUGUCAAGAAUUGAAAAUAUUAUAAUAAAAUAUAGUUACCUAAUUCAUCGUUUUCUAAUUGAUUGACUUUAUGAUGUUUUUUCAGAAUUUAUAAACAUAUUUUUAAUUUUGUAAGAAAUCCCUAACUUUAGCAAAAUUAAAUACCAAACAGUUCCCAAAAGUAUAAAAACGUUGGAAAAAUUAGAUAUAAUUUUUCUAAAAUUAGGACUUGAAAUAGAUAAUUGACAAAAAGUAGGGGAGUACUCCAAUUGGCUUAAUAGUUGGCAGCCAAUGAAGCUAUUAAAUCUAACAAAUCUUCCAAUCAAUUUAGAAAAAUAGCCGUUAAGAGUCUAAUCAUUUAUGUCUUUAUUUGAUUAGCGCUAUUGCCAAUUGUACUUUACUUAUACAGGGUUUAGUUUAACACAACAUGUAUUAUAAGGUGUUUUUUGUAAAUGUGUUCACUAUAUAUUCAAUGGAAAUCCUAAAAGGGGCUUUUACGGUUUUACCCAAUCUUUCAUGAUAUCAGAGCCACAAACCCUCUAGGGAAAAUCAACAGAGUCGUCAUCCUUCUUUCUUCAUUUCCGUCACUAGUUCUCUUCCUCUCUAUUAUUGUUCUACCUUAGUAUUACUGCUAUAGUAUCGCUUCUACAGUAUUUUGUUACAGCACUGCCGCUGCAUAUUUUACUACAGUAUCACCACUACAAUACUUGCUACAGUACCACUGCUACAGUAUGGCACUCUUUCUUCCCUUUACCUUGUAGUGAUCUUGUAGCUACCUAUACUCAUCUAUGUUCUCAAAAUCCUAACUGCGUUUUAGUAGUCGUUGGAUCUGUGGUUAUUACUUGCUAGUUUUCUCGAGGGUAUUCCAUCGCCGCUGUUUUUUUUCUUUAAUUGUUGAUGCCGCUAAGUUACUCGUUCUCUUCAUCUUUAUUUUUCAAUGGCGGCUAACAUUUUUCUACUUGUGGUGAAUAUCAAGACACUUAUUCCUAGAGCUAUCAAACACUACAUACUUGGUCUAAAAACAAGUGUUCCUCAACAUGUUGAAAAGCUUUGAAGUAGCCUCACACUUUGAUGGAACGGAUGUACCACCAUCUUAGACGGUAGAUGUCGACAAAAAGCUUGAACCCAAUCCUAAUUAUUUACAAUGGAAAAGAGAGGAUUCUACAAUCUUCUCAUGGAUCAAUGCAACAAUGUCCCUUUCUAUCAAAUAGUAAUAUCCAGUUAGCCGAAGUCAACUCGCGAAUCUUGAAUCUUCCUUGAAAAUUACUUCUUAGAUAAGACCACCUCUACUGCCUUUUCUCUUAAGGCGGACUUGCAUGGUAUUAAAAAAGGGUCAAUGACUUAUGUCAAAGUAUAUGCAGAAGGUCAAAUCUAUCGGGGACACACUUCUAGCCAUUAGGGAAGGUGAGUCUGAUCACAAUCUCGUGAUGACUGUUUUAUUAGGGCUCCGAAAAAGUAUCGCGGUUUUGUGAGUGCAUUGAAACUCACAGAACCAAACCGACUUUUGAUCAACUUCAUCCUCUUCUGUUGCAAGAAAACAUAGAAGUGCAGUGACCCUCGAGCCAUACUACAUCCUCUUUCGGAGAUUCUAGUGCCCUGCAUGCAAACCAUGGAUGAGGAACAAAGUAAAGCCAGAAUGGUUGAUCUAGAGAAGGAUGAGGAUAGCGAGAUGGUCGUCAUCUAUAGCCUAGGCGUGGACAACAUAAAGCAUCACCAUAUAAAUAUUUUCAACUUAUACAACCUACGCAUCAUCAACAAUACCCACCUAUGCCUCAACAACUUCCUCGGGAUUGUUCGAAACCAAUGAUGCCUCACACUAAAAAUCAGCGUCAAAUUUGUGGUAAAUUCAACCGCACUGCUCGUAAGUGUAGACAGAGAUUCAACUAUACCUUUAGAUAUAUCCAUUAAAAUAAAAUUAUAUUUUUAUAGGAUCUACGAUGUAUUGGAUGCAUUGAAUAUAUAGGCAGGACACACAUCAACAAACGGAGAGUGCUCCACGCCUUUUAGUAUAUAGUAAUAGAUUGCUCAAAAUAAAAUUACAUAGGAAAGUACAACUUUCUAAAACACAUGACAAUAAAGUGAAAAAUCGUCAUACAAUGCAAAGAAAAAUGGAAAUAAAAGGAUAAAAUGUAUAGACACCCCCCAAACUUUCCCGCUUUACCAAAGAGGCCCCUAAACUUUCAAUUUUGAAAAAAAUUCCUCUGAAUUUCACAAUAUUUUGCAAUCUACCCUACCGUUUGCUUGGCAUCAAAAAAGUUAACGGAGAUAGGCAUACACAAUACUCUAAUGUGCUUUCCUCUUUUUCAUCUCCAAAUAGAACUCAAAAUUGAUACAAAAAGAGAAUAGAACAUAUUCCUGAAAAAUACCAGCCCUAACUUCAUUCAUAAUUAAUUGAUCUAAGUCCAUCCCAAGAAUAUUUGCUCCGUAAAACAAAACUUCCAUACAAUGCAUAUAGCGGGGGAAAAAAAAUCGUUAUCAAAUGUUUACUUAUUCCAAACGACACUAAACAAAAGUUUCAUAUCAUCCAUAAGGUUACCUCCAAUCAUUUCACAAAGAAGAAGAGGCUUACAUAUUUUAUAUUCUCCACUGUUUGGCCUAAAAAGCAGACCACAUGAUUGUCAUGUGCCCAUUCCCGUUAAUUCUUCAACGCCAAACGGACGUAACAGUAUAUUGCAAAAUAUAGUGAAGUUCAGAAGGUUAUUUUCCUACAUUCAAAGUUCAGGAGUCUUGUUGCAAAAGCGGUAAACUUUAGGGGGUGUUUGUACAUUUUACCAAAAAAUAAGAAAGAAAAUGCUAAUUAUUCAUCUUACACCUUGGCCACUAAUAAUAAUUAAAAAAAAAUGACAAGACAAGUGAGUUGAUCUCAUCCACCUAAAAGCCAGGGUACAUACCAUACAGCUUGAUCUAGAGUGUAUGGACAGUAUUGUCUAGAAAUUAAAAGCACUGAUACUGAUACACUCCAAAAGGGGAUGUAAAUCUUAUAUCUUUUUAUCGAAGGAUCAAUAUUGAGUCCUUGUCUUAUCAAAAAUAAAUAAAUAAAUACUAAAAAACUAAUAGAUUGUUAAACCCUAAGAUGGGUUUCGUGUGUACCAUUAGCAUUUCUCCAUUCAUACAGGCCCCUGCAAACAUAGUAAAUUGCAAAUAUAUCCCUACAAAGUUUAACUUUCAUAUGUUGUCCCUGCAAAAGUCCUAAUAUUUUCAAAUAUGUCUCUCUGGUUUGUUACCAUUAAACCAUUGUUUAUUUUAUAAGUAAAAUGAUCUUUUUGUCAUCACAAAUAUUCCUUUCAAAAAUUCUAACUGUUAAUUGAAGAGUGAUAAGAAAGUCAAUUCACCUCAUUAACUAACUAGGAUUAAGUAUUUUACCUAUAGUUAACUAAUUUUUUAUAACCGAUCCUAACGACAGGGACAUAUUUAAAAACAUCAGGGCUUUUGGUAACACCCCAUACUUUUAAACCUCUUGUUUUGACUACCGUCCUAUUAAGUUUGGACCUUUUUGUAAAUUCAAAUCUUUGAGGGACUUGGCGGCAUAUUGUUGCCUAAUUAGUCCCUAAUUUAAUUAGUUCCCUUCUAUUCGUUCCUAGCUACCCUCAACCCGAUCUAUUUCUCUCUGUCGCUCGAUCCCUCUCCCCUCCACUUCCGUAUGACCUCCACGGUUCCGCACAUGCGCGCGCGACGCCAUCCGAUCUCUACCAUCGUUGCCAUCAUCCUUAGUCGCAACCAUCACCGCCGCAAUCCUCAUCCAUUGAUAUUUUUGAUUCGUCGUCGUCACUCCGUCUUCAAGAAGGUCUAUUCCUUUUUAUUUCCUCUACAUCUAUUCUUGAUAGGAUCUAAUUCCUUAUUCAUGGUUAUAUGAUUAUUUUGAACACUUAUCUCUUAAUGAUUGGAAUUAAAACUAUUAAAAAUCUAAUUCGCUGUGAUCUUAUUUUUGUCUUUUGAACUUUCUAAUUUUAUAUCUUGUAACCUCUAUAAAAUUUAGUUGUGUAAACCUCGCUCAUUCUACGCAUUUUUGGAAUGCCCGUUAUAUGUUCGAUAAAACCCCUAUGAGAGGGCGAAUUUCUUUUUGUUCCUAAUUUCGAUCCCAUUUGAUUGUAGAUCGUAAAAUUAUAUUUCCAAAUGUGAAAAACCUCUUUUCGAAUACUAAACCUUUCAUUUGUAAUUUCAAGUUCCGUUCAUGUUAUCUUACUCCUUUGAAUAACUUAAUUUUUAAAACUCCAUCCCUUUGAUUGCUAAUUGUGUUUUGUCGAAUUUAAUAUUCUAAAUCCCUUUGUGUUCCUUCCUGACCUAUUUGCCUACCUUUGUAAUUGAGAUUGUCACGAGCCUAUCCGAAUUUAAACCUUGUGUAAACUUGUCUUCUAAAUAUAAUUAUAUCCUCUUUGUAAGUUCAUUUUUUAGUUAGUUUAUAGAGAAUCGCAUGUCUCUAUUUUAGGUUCCGACGAUUGAUUUUCUGCGCAUUUUCGACUGGAUAAUUUCUCAUCUUUAAAGCUACAUUAAAGUAAGUGACUGGACACCCGUUAGUUUUUCGCUAAAUAAUUUAGGAAAACACUUUGAUUGUGUGAAAAUCUUAUUUUGUAGCUUUUAAAAUUAAAGGUUAAACAUAUUAUUAAAUAUUUUUGUAAAUUGAGCUUCAACUGUAAUUAACAAGUUCUUUUAGCAAAAAGAAUUUUUGAAAUUUGGUAAUUUGUUCUGUAAAUUAGUGACUGAAUAAAUUUUGAAUCAUGAUGUCUCUUGGUAUUCUGCUAUGCUAAUGUUGGCUAUGUCAACAUGUAUUUUGUUAUAAAAGCGAGCUUCGUCUUUGUAUUGCGCCUUCGGGUGCCUACGACUAUCCGCGCCUCUGUUCUGUAAUUGUGCUUUCGAGCGCCUCUGUUUUAUACACGCACCUUCGGGUGCCUCUGUUCUGUUUGCACCUUUGGGUGCCUCUGUUCUGUUUGAACGUUCGGGUGCCUUUGGAUCUCACCAACGAAUCAUAUGAUAUAGUUAGUUGCCGGAGACUUAAUAUUUAUUUCGUUUAUUUGCUGAAAGAGAAAUGUUUUGUAAAUUUAUAAUUUCAAUCUGAUCUGAAUUUUAAAUUUUGAUAAUUCUUGUUUUAUGAAAUUUUACAAAUUAAAAACCAGUCACUUGAAUUAAUUUUUGUAUUCAUUUAUUAUUUGUAUUGUAUGCUUAAUCCGACUAAUAUGGUGUAUGGUUGCUUAUCCAAGUACUGAGACUGAUUCGUAAGGCGGGGCCGGGACCGAAUGAACAUUAGACGUAGCCAGUUUUGAUUUUAGCCUCUUUCGUCUUAUGUCUAUUGCAUUUAUAUGUGAAUUUUGGACUUCGUAAAUAAUUAUUUGUUUAUCUGCUUCUACUCUGUUAUUUCUUCGUACCUACAUUUGUUAUUUACAGUACCUGUUAGACCAAAUUUUGUUUGUGUUGCAUAAUAAACUUUAGUUGUGCUUAUAUAGAUAUGCAGCGUCUUUUAUGCCUCAGGUUUGGGGCGUGACACUUUUACAGGAACAAUAUAUGAAAAUUGAACUUCAUAGAAAUAUAUUUAUAAUUUACUAAGUUUGGAGGACCUAUAUGAAAUUAACCCAAGAGAGAGAAAGGGACGCAGAUGGCGACUGUAGAGAGGAAAAGUGAGGAGAGGGGAAGUGGGUAACCUGGAGGAGGUGGGCAGCGGAGUAGACGGCACCGCAGGGAUUGUUAGGGUUGAUGAGAACGACGGCGACGGUGCGGGCGUCGGCGAGGGAUCGGAUCUGGCGGAGGUCGAGCUCCCAGCCGCGGCGGGGCAGGAGGUCGUAGUAGCGGGGCUCGACGCCGGACAGCUCGCAGGCGGACUCGUAGGGGGCGAACCCCGGCCGCGGCAGGAGCAGGUUGGCCCCCGGCCGGGCCAGCACCGUCACGCAUACCUGGAUCNUGUAGAGAGGAAAAGUGAGGAGAGGGGAAGUGGGUAACCUGGAGGAGGUGGGCAGCGGAGUAGACGGCACCGCAGGGAUUGUUAGGGUUGAUGAGGGGGCGAACCCCGGCCGCGGCAGGAGCAGGUUGGCCCCCGGCCGGGCCAGCACCGUCACGCAUACCUGGAUCGCCUGCGUCCCGCCCACCGUCAGGAACACGUCGCCCUCCCGAAUUCCCUGCUCCUGCGCCUGCUCUUGCUUCUGCUGCUUCUUGAUUCCUUUCCAUAGGUAAUCCGCUACCGCCCUGCCCUCCGUUUCAAAAAUAAAUAAAAAAUAAAUUAAAUUAACAAAUAAAAGGUUGAAUAUAUAUAAAAAUAUUAAGGUUAAGAAUACCGUUAUUUUUAGCUUCGGGUUGUUCGGGAAAAAAGAAAAAAAUAAUUCUAAAAAAGAAACUAAAUUAAUGAAGACCCCUAUGUAUGCAUAGGUACGUCCUGAUACGGAUACCUAAAAUUUUAUCCAAAUUCGAAUCCGAAUAAAAAAGAUUUAUUCAAUACUAGAUGAAUGUAGCUUCGGAUAUGAAUAUUAAAAGCAAAAAUCCAACAAAUAUGAAUUCGGAUAUGAAUUUUAACUAUAUCCGAUCCAAAUCCGAAUUUAUUUUACAUAAAAUGUAUAUAAAAUUUAAUAUUAUAUUUGAAUUUGUAUUUUAAAAAAUUUAAAUUUAAUGUAAUAUAUUUUGAAAUAUUGAAAAGACAAAUAAUUAUUUCGGAUUCGGAUUCGGAUUUGGGCUUCGAAUUUUUGGUCCGAUUCGGGUUUGGAUAUGAAUUUUUAAAAUCCGUCGGAUUCAGAUUCGAGGUCAGAUUUCAGGUUUGGAGUUGGGUUCGGGUUUGGGUUUUGAAAAUCCAUCUUGAAUCCGACUCAUUGACAUCCUUAACUAGACACCUCAACGCUUGUCGGAAAAAAUAGGUUCUACUAAUUGAUUUUAGUUUGAAGAAAUAAUUUUUGUUAGAAGUUGUAGAGCGUUUGGCUAAGCAUAACUUUAAUAGUGAAGCAAUUUUUUUUAAAAUGAUUUUAUAAAAUUACUUAGCAAAAAAAAUCGAUUUGUAAUUAAUAAUUUUGAAUUUUGAAUUUUAAAUUUUAAAUUUAAGAUCUCAAUAAGAAUUAAAAUUUUAAUAUUUGAAUUACAAAUCUAAAUUUAAAAUUAAAUUUUGAAAUUUGAAAUUUAACAUUUAAUAUUUCAAAUUUAAAUAUAGCCUAACACGUUAUUUAUGAAAUUGGAUUUGAAUUUUUAGAGGUAAUUAGUACUUAGUAGUGGCUUUUAAAGAGUUGCGAAAAGGUCUUGUAGUGGACCCAAUGUUAUAUCUUUAGGCCCUAUGGGCUUUGGGCUAAGCAUAAUCUUCCCUACAACUUUGUUUCAAUGUUUGAAUAAAUUUUCAAUAAUAACUAAUCCUUUAUGAGCAAUUUCUUUUGUGACGGUAAAGUAACUGCUUGAUUUUAGCUUGUUGGAAGACUUUGAAAACCAUAAUUUGAUAGGAUAAUAUAUUCCACCUAUCUUAUCCAAAAAAAAAAAAUUAAAAAAUUACAUACAGUAUGCCUUUCUAGGCAUAUAUAUAUAAUCAUACUCUCUAUCUACAACUACUACAAGUCUCUUACCAACCGUCCAUAACACAAGUGUUAGAGGGAUUGAUAGCUAGUACUUGAUGACUCCAGUUUAAAGCCUAGUUAGUUCAUUUUUUGCUAAAUUCAUCCCCCCACAAAAAAAAGUAUAUAGCAUAUCAGGAGUUAUAUAUAUAUAUAACAAGCCUCUUAAACAAAUAUAAAAGAUGUGUGAAUAUGUUAUGCCUGUUUGUAAACACAAAAUAAAAUAAACUACUUCAAAACGAAAUAUAUUAUUUUAUUAAAUUAUGAAUGUCAAGAUCUUUUGAAGAGCUAAAAAUCAAGUUCCUAUUUUGCAAUCGCAUAGGAAAUUCUUUGAAUAGCUUAAAUUAUUUCCAAAUAACUUAUUCUAAUGUCCAAACAAGGCAUGAAUGAAAUAUAUGUCUAAACAAAAAUUUAUUCAUCCAAAUAUAUAAUCUACAAGUUUCACAUGAUAUAUCUUAACACAGAGGUGCAGGAUAGACUACACUAUCUAGUAACUUUUUUUGUGUUGUAAAUUAGAAACUCCAAAUUAAAACUUUUGAUUUUAAGCCUCAAAAUUAUAUAAUUAUUUUUUGUAAUUUUUAUAGACUCAUUCCAAAGAUGUAUAGUAUCUAAAUUGUACUGUUCAGCACUAUGAUGAGCUAGCAAUCAUAUGCGGAGAUGAUCAAACAAUCGGAGAAUUUGCAUUGAAUGAUUCAAAUAGUGUCAAUCUUGGUAAAGAAGAGAACAAUGAUGAUGGUGAUGACGUUGGCCUGGAAGAUUUCUAUUUGGAUGAGAGCAAGCAUUUUUUAUGAACAAUCUCUUUUCAAUAACGUAAAAUGACAAAAUACAUGCCCGGUGACCAAGUCUAGCAUAGCUACAACCUCAAAAGCUAAGAAAUAAAAACAUUCAAAUUCAGAAUUUAUGUUAUUAGUGAAAAAGAUUGAAAAUUUAGCAGAUUCAAUAAAGGAUGCGUAGAUAAUGUACAGAAAGGAGAUAUGAAGCUCUAUAAAGUCGUGAAAUAUUUCCGAGCACGUAGGUACUGUUGCAUAUGAGUAUUUCCUAAGAAAUGAAAUAGUUGGAAAAUAUUUUUUAGUUCGUAGAUAGAGACGCGAGUUGAAUGGUUAAAACACUUUAAAGAUCAAUUUCUAAAAGUAAUUUUGAUCUAGUUGCUAAAUAUGAAAAACUAUUUAGUAUACUAUUUGGCUUUUGGAAUUGGAUGGUUUUGGAUAUAAUGGCGCAUAGUAUAGAUAAUACUACUUUAUAGUUUGCAAUUUUUUGUAUCUAUUUACUUUUGGGUUAUGGUUUCACUAGAAGCUGUCCAAAAAAUUGGAUAUUAAAUAGUUGAUAUUUUAUUUUGACAACUCACACAUUAUUUUGUUGAUAUAUUAUAUGCCGACUAUUUAUGUUUGUAAGUUUUUAAUAUUUAUUCUUUUCUUUUAAUAAUGUAUUACAUAUAUUCAUACUUUUCAUAUAUUAAAUUGAUAAAAUAGAUAACUUGUGAUAUGAGAAUUAGAAAGAUUAUAGAGAUCUUGUGUCCAUUAUUUGUCCAUCUUUAUGCUUUUCUAAAUUAUGCUUUAUGAACAAUUGGAGUAGUUGAACUUAAAAAGAAGCCAAAUAAAUGACUGUGACAAAAUUGGAAUGUUAUAAGCAAUAAGUCAAAUCAUCUUUAUAUGGUUAAUUGCUUCAUAUUAUUAUAGUUAUUAUUAUUAAAUAUGAAUAUUCAUUCUUACAUAUAUCAAGUUUUAAUAGGGGGUGAUCUCACCUCCAACAUGUAGGAAGUAUUUCUAUCUCAUUUUUCACUACCAAUAAAUAAUAUUAAUAUAUUAUUCAAAUUUUUUAAAAUAUUUUAUAUACCUUCUUUUUUUUUUAUGGUAAACUUACCAUCCUUGUGGUUUCGUACUUUCUCACUUUAGUAGCCUGUGAUUUAAGAUUACUAAUUUAGUAUUCUAUGGUUUUAUUUUUUUUCUUUUCGUCAGUCCUUCAGUUAAUUUUUCAUCAAAAAACUUUUGAUACCCCACUCAUAGUUUAUCUAGUUUAUCAAAUAUUCACUUUAGUACCUUUUAGUUUUAACUUCGUCACUGAUUUAACGGAAAAAAUUAGUAGAAUAAAUAACAAAAAGAGAAAAAUAAAACCACAGGGUACGAAAGUGAUACAUUUUAAACCACAGAAUACUAAAGUGAGAAAGUGCGAAACCACGAUAGCGGUAUUUGAAUUUUUUUCUUUUUUUAUUUCAAAUAUGAUUCUCGUAUAUUUCUUCGUGUGUUAGUACCAUUAAAUCAUCUCGGGUUAAAUUUCUUCCAAACUCAAAAGAGUCAAAAUAUCUCUUUGGUCUCUAACUUAAAGGAAAAUAAAAAAAGUUGGUGACGCUAAAAGAAUAUAUUUGAAAAGAUAAAAUAUCAAAAUACUUCUUUUGCCCGUAGCUUAAUAGUAAAUAAGAAAAGUUGGUGGCAGUAGUAGAAUAUAUUUAAAAAAACAAAAUAGUAAUUUUACAGAGAUAAUGAUUAUUCGUAAUAGUUCACUAACAAAAUUUAGCUUUAGGAUAUAAUUGAAAUAAUUUGAAACGUUAAAAAGAUAUUUUUAAUAUUAGCCUUCUAUGAACUAUAAAUAAAAAAGUCGAGAACUUUUCAGAGAUAUAUAAACAAUUGUUCCAAACAAAAAGAAAGCAAAAAAAAUAAAAUAAAGUUUUUUUUUCAUACAAAUCAAAAAUAAUAACUGUAAAAUCACUUUUACUUUCUUUCUAAUCAAAUGCUCCAAAUCCUAAAAUUAGUUUUCAGCUGAAAAGUCUUAUUUUUGAAAAUCAACGAGAAUAUUUUAGCCAAGCAGGACAAUAUUAAAUAUAUUUUAAAUUUUUAAAAAUUAUAUAAAAUAUUUAUAAUUACAAUUUUGAUCAUAUUCCCGUCACGCAGGCGCCACAUCAGCACCACGUAAGCUGGCUGGGAAGAAGUCUUAAGUUGAAUACGGUGAACCAUUUAUCGUAUUUUGAACACGGUGAAUAAUUCUCCGUAUUCCAUAUUUAUAUUUCUCUUAUAUAUUUUUUUUCAAUACUUAUAUUUUUUCACAAUACACGGUUAACCAUUCACCGUGUUUAGAUACGAUAACUAAAUUAUCGUAUUUAAUUUAUUCCAGCACCUCCAUCCUUGCUCGAGUGGCACUUACGUGCCGUCUGCGUGGCAGGAAUUAAAUCAAAAUAACAAUUAUAAAUUUAAAAAAAUUAUUUAUAAAAAUAAUUUUUUUGAAAAUGCCAAAUGCCAAAAAAAAAAAACCAUUAAAAAAAAAGUAGAAGUCAAAACAAAAACCAACUCCGUUCACCACGAAACUAGUGCAGAAGUUUCGGGAAAGGAAUACAAACCACACACGUAAUUUUCAAAUAGUUGAAAAAAAGAAACAAAACUGUCGCGGUUCGGACUCACACCCCCAGCGUUGUUUCUCUCUGCUGCGGUGUCGACACAGAUUAUUCGAAGGUCGCGUUCGAAAAACAAACAAAAAAUAAAUAGAGGAAAAAAAAAAAAAAAAAAAACUAAAUAUCAAACAGGGCUGAUUUGCUGCCACGUGGACGAGAUCAGAUCCGACCAAAUCUCGCCGUGGGCCCACCAUCUGGUAUAUUACACCUAACGUUUGUACGGCCACAUCACGGAUCCGAAUGGUACUAAAAUUUCGCUUCAUCUCUGAAUUCACCGUGGAUUAAAAAAUAUAUUCUAUAAUAAUAAUUUAUGCCGCCGCAUAACCUAAAUACUUUAUUUUACAAAUUUAUAAUAUUAUUAUUAAAUAUUUUAUAAAAUAUAACUUAAUAAUAUUUUUAAUAAUAAUAAAUAAUAUUACCAAACUAUAUAUAUAAUUAACAACAUCAAUUAUAAGAAUCAAAAACAACGAUCACCAUUCAAGCAAAAUUCAAAAGUUUUAAAUAUAUAAGAAAUGAUAGCACCAAUUUAUUUGUAUUUUGAACUUUUCUGUAAAUAUAUUAUUUUUAGAGGUAUUUUUUAAAAAUAUAAAUAAUUUUCGGAAUAGAUUCGGAACGGAUUCUGAGCGGAUUAAAAUUUUUCUCAUUUCCUCCCCCCAAAUUUGGCACGGAUCAUAAAAAUCACCCAUUUCCUACUUCGAAUUCGUUUAUUUUUUCUUUUUAUUUACUGCCUCAUUCGGAACGGAUCAGGACAGGAGUUCCACCAACCCGGAUCCGUUUGCAUUCGGAGCUGUAAACCCAAUUGGUUUGGCAAACUCACUACAAAGUAACCAAUCUUUGGAGAAAAACUAUUUAUGACCACUAAUAAAGCAACUAUUUUGUACAAAUAUUUUGCAUUUAUCAUAGUAUUAUAUUUAUUUUAAAUUAUUGUUAUUGUAUUUAGUCAGAAUUUCUAAAACGGCAAAAAAAAAAAUGUUAUUGUAUUUUAAAUUAUUGUUAUUGUAUUUAAUCUUCGAGAAUCCUUUAAAACGGCAAAAAAAAAAUGCUUUGUUUCAAUAGCAAUAUUUAAAUUUAGCCAUUAAAAUGUAUAGAUGACUUUAGUGGUAACUUAUUUUCUGAUAAAUAUACAGCAAAAUAAUUUUCGCCACAAAAAUAAAAGAAAAAUUGUGACGAACUUUUAUAUUUUUUAGCUAUUUUAUUCACUAUAAAAAAUCAGUUUUCUUAUAGUGAACUUAUAAAAGAAAAUUUUAAUUAAUUUCACUUUAGUUUAGCAUUUUCUUAUUUCGUUGCCUUAUAAUUUGGAAAACAAUAUAUUACCAUUAUGUGAUCUUGGUUUUAUUUUAUCGUAAAAUUUAGACACAAAAUAUAAACUAAAGAGCAAUAAAGUGAAAGUUAUAUAGAUUAACAACAUAAUAUAUCUGAUCACUCUAUGAUUCAUAAAGAUUAGCACUUCAUUACAUUUUCUUAUGUUGUCUUGCUAUUUUAUUUAAUGAUAAAUUUUUAAAGGAGCCCAAAAAGAAUUGUAAAAGAUUAAAUAAAACUUUUCUUUUUUGAGAGAGAGAGAGAAAACGAUGGAACUUGAGUGGGGCACAAUUUAUAUGCAUUUAAGAGGAUUCUUGUACACAACAAUAUUUUAAACCCCACACUCUGGCCUAACUAUCUAAAGGAGUUCUAGAGGGUAUCGAGAUGGUCCCAAAAUCCAAUUUUGGAGAGGGUGGGUACUGAUGCACUUCUGGUCGACUUAACUAAAGUCUAAAAAUAGAGAUAUGCUAUUCAUACAUUGCAUCUGAGAUAUAUGAUGGACACAAUUUCUAUCCAAUAGAAACAAAUCUUCGCUAGUCACACGACAAGUAAAGCAACAUUUAUCUUGUCUUAUAUAUAGAGUUCGGCUACUAUAUUAUCGAUAGUAUCAAACUCUAAAUACUAUCGAAUAUUCUGUCGUUGGAUCUAUCCAUUGAUUAUUUUCAUCCGUUAGAUUAUAUUAUUCAACUAACCGGGGACCACUGUCAUCCUAACUGUACAUCCCUUAAUCCAACGGUCAAAAUCUCGAUAGCACCAAACACUUGAUACUAUCGAUAGUAUAGUAACAUAAUUCCUUAUAUAUAUAUAUAUAUAUAUAUAUAUAUAUAUAUAUAUAUAUAUAGAGAGAGAGAGAGAGAGAGAGAGAGAGAGAGAGAGAGAGAGAGAGAGAGAAAGAGAGAGAGAGAGAGAGAGAGAGUUGGACUGGGCUACUAUUAGUAGCAAAAUCCCAUUGUUGCUACCAGUUUUUUAGCCUUUGGAUCAACUCUUUUCAUUAUUUCUAACCAUUGGAUUAAAUACUAUAACCCAGUGGGGACCACUCAACCCUAGGGGGACCACUUAACUCUAACUGACUAAUAUCAUUCUGACCCUACAAUUUUUCAUCCAAGGAUUAAAAACUUGAUAGCAAAAAGAGCGUUUUACUAUUAAUAGUAUUCCAGCCUAAUUCUAUAUAUAUAUAUAUAUAUAAUUGGGCUCUUAUGCUUUUAAAAGUACCAAGUUAUUGGUGCUUGUAGAUUUUUGACCAUUGGAUUAAGAGAUGUGCGGUUAGGAUGAUGUGGGACCCCUAGGGUUAAGUGGAUGUGGUUGGUUCAAUAGUAUAAUCUAACGGAUGGAAAUGAUCAAAAGGGUAGAUCUAACGGUAAAAAAUUUACAAGCAUCAAGUGCUUGGUGCUUUUACAAGCGCCUAUGGUAGUCCAGCUACUAUAUUCUUAUAAGUACAAUCGCAUUUGCACUCAUAAGUCAUUUUCGAUGAUAAAGCUUCUGAAUCAACAAUUCAUACCGUUAAACAUUAUUUAGAUCAUUUGAAAUUUCUAGAAAUCAAAUUUCAUAAUUUUUCGAUAUUAUUUACCUUACAAUUAAAAGAUCUUAAAAUUGAUAAUUUUUAACUGCAUGUAUGAGAUACUGCUAAUUUAACAGUAUAAAAAAAUCAAAAUUGGUUGAACUUUUCAUAGAAAUUCUAUUCAUUAUUUAGAUAAAAAUCAAUAAUUUUGAUCUUAAAUUGAAAAACCUGAUCUUUUAUUUUUAGGAGAUUCUUCGAUUUUUAUCGUUCAUUUUUCUACCUGCUUGAUUGAUUUUAUUAUAAUUUCAAAUAUUUACAAAAUUUAUUUUCUAUAAAUUUCAAAUACUCUACAUCAUAUUUAAAAAUGUGGAUCAUCGAUUUAGAAGCUCCAUCAUCAAAAAUGUUUAUGAGUAUGAAAGGUUCUACAAUCAUAAUGACAGAAAACUUACAAGCGUUAGGGCGUGGUGCUUUUAAAAGCACUAUAGUCGGCUUCUAUAUUUUUAAAAAUACUAAGUCAUUGAUGCUUGUAGAUUUUCGGCCUUUAGAUUAAAUGAUAUGUGGUUAGGAUGAUAGUAGUCCCCUGUGGUUGAGUGGGUAGUUGGUUGAAUUGUAUGAUCUAACGGGUGAAAAUAAUCAAAGGGGUAGAUCUAACGAUAGAAAACUUAUAAAAACUAGUACUUGAUGUAUUUAAAAGCACUGUAGUCGGACAAAUAUAGAAUUGAGCUCUUAUACUUCUAAAAGUACCAAGUUAUUAGUACUUGUAGGUUUUCGGCUCUUAGAUUAAGGGAUGUGCGGUUAGGAUAAUUAAUAGUGGUCCCCUAUGAUGGAGUGAGUGGUUUGUUGAAUAGUAUGAUUUAACGGAUAAAAAUAAUCAAAGAAAUAGAUCUAACGACAGAAAACUUAUACGCACUAAUGCUUGGUGCUUUUAAAAGCAUCAUAGUCGGACUCAUAUAGAAUUGAGCUCCUAUACUUUUAAAAGUACCAAGUCAUUGGUGCUUGUAGGUUUUCGGCCUUUAGAUUAAAGGAUGUGUAGUUAGGAUGAUAACGGUCCCCUUUGGUCGAGUGAGUGGUUGGUUGAAUAGUAUGAUCUAACGGAUGAAAAUAAUCAAAGAGGUAGAUCUAACAACAGAAAGUUACAAUACUAGUGUUUGGUGCUUUUAAAAGCACCAUAGUCGGACUCUAUUGGCUACGUUUGGUUCGGGUAUAAAUAAGAACUGUUUAUUCUAGACAUAGGUAGAAGUACAGAUAUAAGUAGGAACUAGACCAAUUUUGCAUUUGGAUAAAAAUUGGGUUGUUUGUAGGAAUAAGGUAAAUAGUGUUUGGAUGGUUAGAUUGUAACAAAGGGAAUAAGAGUCAUAAUUUUAAAUUAAAAUUAUUUUAUCUAAUUAAUUAAUAUCAAAAUAUUACUUAAUAAUAAUAAAUUAAUAUUAAUAAUUAUAAAUAGUAAAUUAUUAAUAAUUAAUAAUGAUAAAUUAAUUAAUUAAUAAUAAAUUAUUAAUAAUAAAUUAAUUAGAUACUAUAAUAUAAAUAAUAAAUUAAUAAUAAUUUUAAAUAAUAAAUUAUUAACAAUUAUAAAUAAAUAAAUAAAUAAUAAUAAAAUAAAUAAUAAAUUAUUAAUAAUUAUAAAUAAUAAAUUAUUACUAAUAAUAAAUUAUAAAUUAAUUAAUUAAUAAUAAAAUUAUUUAUCAAUUAGUUAUUAAUAAUUAUGAAGAAUAAUAAAUUAAUUUAUAAUAAUAAACUAUUAAUAAUUAUAAAUUACAAAUUAAUUAAUAUUAAAUUAAGUAAUUAAAUAAUUAUUAAUAAUUAUAAACAAUAAUAAAUUAAAUAAAUUAAUUAAAGUAAAUUAAAUAAUUAAUGAAAUAAUAAAUUAAUUAAUUAAGAAUAAAUUAAUGAUAAAUUAGUUAAUUAUAAAUUAAUAAAUUAAUUAUUAAUUAAUUAAUAAUUAAUUAAUUAAUAAAUAAAUAAAUAAAGUAAUUAUUAACAAUUAUAAAUAAUAAUAAUUUAAUUAAUAAUUAUAAAUAAUAAAUUAAUAAAUUAUUUUAGUAUUUAAGUAAUAAAUAAUGAUUUAAAUAUAUUAAUUAAAUUAAUUAAUUAUUUAAUACCAUAAUUAAAAUUAUUUUUAGACUUUAAUUAACCUUAUUCUCACAUGGGAACAAGCUUGUUCCAGGAAAAAAAUGGAACAACAGUUGCAGCCUUAUACCGGCUUAUUCCAGAAAUCCGAAAACUACUGUUCUCGAGUACUAAAUACAGCGUUUGGAAACAAAAUGGAGAACAAGAGCCUUGUUCACGUGUUCCCGAACCAAACGCUACCAUAUGUAUAUCCCUUUAACUUUACUCUCUUUCAAUAGGCAUCUAAAUUUUAAAUUUUAGCAGCAAAACUACUUAAUCGAUAUCAAAUAAUUUUCUAAGCUCUUCUCUUCAAUC
RNAcentral lists this long non-coding RNA (37714 nucleotides) under Ananas comosus (pineapple). RNAcentral's name for it is "long non-coding RNA (ACOM_LNC021352)". Lineage: Eukaryota; Viridiplantae; Streptophyta; Magnoliopsida; Poales; Bromeliaceae. The record is from RNAcentral.